This 765-nucleotide ribosomal RNA is filed under the name Zwackhia viridis. Its description in RNAcentral is "mitochondrial SSU rRNA". It matches the Rfam family "Bacterial small subunit ribosomal RNA", at positions 370 to 1206 of the family's 1533-position model. The record is from RNAcentral. Lineage: Eukaryota; Fungi; Ascomycota; Arthoniomycetes; Arthoniales; Lecanographaceae.
AAUAGCCUAACGGCUGAACCAGCAAUUUGGAGGAAUGGGAAUAAUAAGUGUUAUUAUUAUUCCAAAGUGGUUUAUCCACAUAAAGUUCUAGAUAUAUUAUUGAUUAUGACAGCUAUAUAUCUAUUAGUCUCGACUAAAUCACGUGCCAGCUGUCGCGGUAAUACGGGAGAGACAAGUGUUAUUCAUCUUUAUUGGGUAUAUAGGGUACCUAGACGGAUUAGAAAACCUUUUUAAUAAAAAGGUAAAACGAUCUUGAGUUUUAUGUGAGAGGUCUAUUAGUACUAACGGAGUAGAGAUGAAAUUUUUUGAUACUGUUGGGCACUGGUAAGGGCGAAGGCGAUCCUCUAUGUAAAAACUGACGUUGAGGGACGAAGGCCUGGGUAGCAAACAGGAUUAGGUACCCUAAUAGUCCAGGCAGUAAAUUAUGAGUGUCAUAGAUUAAAAUUUUUGAUCUAUAAAUGAAAGUGUAAGCACUCCACCUCAAGAGUAAUGUGGCAACGCAGGAACUGAAAUCAUUAGACCGUUUCUGAAACCAGUAGUGAAGUAUGUUGUUUAAUUCGAUGGUACACGAAAAAUCUUACCACAAUUUGAAUAUAGAUUAAUAUAUACAGGUGCUGCACGGCUGUCUUUAGUUAAUGUCGUGAGAUGCAGGUUAGCUCCAACUAAUUAACGUAAACCCCUAUUUUAUUUUUUUUUACAUAAAGUAUUUUUCCUAUAUAUGGGAUAAAGUAGCANGGAUCAAGACAAGCACUCGCGGCCCUAAUA